GAAGGCUGUACAUCUGGCCAGAGGUGCGAGUCUGAAGAUCCACACACUUGGCUCAUCGCUCAACCUGUUUACAACUGUGCAGCAUGCUAUUACCUUUGGGUGUGUUUAUGUGAUGGCUGUUGUGUUGGAUUAAUAUUGGCUCCAUCCACUGUGGCUGUUAGCCAGGGGUAUCAACAACCAGAGGGCCACAGUUUCCCCACCCUCAGCUUUCCACCACUGAUUUUAAUCCAUAAAGGCAACA
Molecule: non-coding RNA, 241 nt
Organism: Podarcis lilfordi (Lilford's wall lizard)
Lineage: Eukaryota; Metazoa; Chordata; Lepidosauria; Squamata; Lacertidae
Source: the annotation of a GenBank genome assembly